RNAcentral lists this ribosomal RNA (139 nucleotides) under Paenibacillus sp. enrichment culture clone DJN1. Its description in RNAcentral is "partial 16S ribosomal RNA". It matches the Rfam family "Bacterial small subunit ribosomal RNA", at positions 359 to 498 of the family's 1533-position model. The record is from RNAcentral. Lineage: Bacteria; Bacillati; Bacillota; Bacilli; Caryophanales; Paenibacillaceae.
GUGGGGCAUGGGCGCAGCCUGAUGGAGCACGCCGCGUGAGUGAGGAAGGCUUUCGGGUCGUAAAGCUCUGUUGCCAGGGAAGAAUAAGGAUGAGGUAACUACUCAUUCGAUGACGGUACCUGAGAAGAAAGCCCCGGCU